CCUACGGGUGGCAGCAGUGGGGAAUAUUGGACAAUGGGCGAAAGCCUGAUCCAGCCAUGCCGCGUGUGUGAAGAAGGCCUUCGGGUUGUAAAGCACUUUCAGUGGGGAAGAAAGCCUUGGGGCUAAUACCCCCGAGGAAGGACAUCACCCACAGAAGAAGCACCGGCUAACUCCGUGCCAGCAGCCGCGGUAAUACGGAGGGUGCGAGCGUUAAUCGGAAUUACUGGGCGUAAAGCGCGCGUAGGCGGUCUGAUAAGCCGGUUGUGAAAGCCCCGGGCUCAACCUGGGAACGGCAUCCGGAACUGUCAGGCUAGAGUGCAGGAGAGGAAGGUAGAAUUCCCGGUGUAGCGGUGAAAUGCGUAGAGAUCGGGAGGAAUACCAGUGGCGAAGGCGGCCUUCUGGACUGACACUGACGCUGAGGUGCGAAAGCAUGGGUAGCAAACAGGAUUAGAUACCCCAGUAGUC
RNAcentral lists this ribosomal RNA (465 nucleotides) under Vreelandella stevensii. RNAcentral describes it as "partial 16S ribosomal RNA". It matches the Rfam family "Bacterial small subunit ribosomal RNA", at positions 338 to 795 of the family's 1533-position model. Lineage: Bacteria; Pseudomonadati; Pseudomonadota; Gammaproteobacteria; Oceanospirillales; Halomonadaceae. The record is from RNAcentral.